AUUGAACGCUGGCGGCAGGCCUAACACAUGCAAGUCGAGCGGAGCGGCGGACGGGUGAGUAAUGCCUAGGAAUCUGACUGGUAGUGUGGGAUAACGUCCGGAAAUGGGCGCUAAUACCGCAUACUAUCAGAUGAUCCUAGUUCGGAUUAGCUAGUUGGUGGGGUAAAGGCCUACCAAGGCUACGAUCCAUAACUGGUCUGAGAGGAUGAUCAGUCACACUGGAACUGAGACACGGUACAGUCUCCAACGGGAGGCAGAAGUGGGGAAUAUUGUGCAAUGGGUGCAAGCCUGAUGCAGCCAUGCCGCGGGUAUGAAGAAGGCCUUCGGGUUGUAAAGUACUUUCAGCGGUGAGGGGUUACCCGCAGAAGAAGCACCGGCUAACUCCGUGCCAGCAGCCGCGGUAAUUC
This 407-nucleotide ribosomal RNA is filed under the name uncultured bacterium. RNAcentral's name for it is "partial 16S ribosomal RNA". It matches the Rfam family "Bacterial small subunit ribosomal RNA", at positions 30 to 526 of the family's 1533-position model. The record is from RNAcentral.